CAAAGGCGAGGGGCAGCUUGGCUGGGGGCUCUGGGAGGGAGCAGAGAGAAAGGGAGCUUAGCGAUGGGGCAGAUGGGGCCUGGACAUGGAUGGGGAGCUUUAGAGGGGCAGGUGUGGCAGAGGAGAGUGGUUUUGGGGCAGGCUGGCUGGGGUAAGGCCGAGUGGAGCUGCCUCUCCAGUCAGGAGCAGCUCAGCUACAGGCAAUGACAAUCCCAGGAGGUGGUAGGUGCUAACUGUCCUCACCAAAUGGGUGCAUUUCAGCCUGCCCUUGGCCAAACUGUAUCUGGUUUGUAGUCACAAGAGGGAAAAAAAACCUCAUGGACUGAGCACAUGGCCUCCCAAGCUGUAGUCUUGGCUCUCAGUCUUGGUGUUGAACUUGGUAGGUUGUUGAGCCUUUGUGUGCUUUGGUAUCUCCAUCUAUGAAGCAGAGAUAACAGUUGGCUUCAUGCAGGGAUUAAUUAUCGCAUCUUGUAGUCACGUAUUUGUUUAUUUGUUUUUACUAUAGAUUACAGCUGGAGGAAUUCUAAACAGUCCACUUCUCCUUGUCUUGGUGUUUGAGCGCAUUGUGCUCCUGUCUGAACAGAGGAAAUCACUGAGUAUCUUGGCAGAGCUGUCUUUCACAUACUAAGGCAUACCUCGGGUUCGAGUAGAACCCUGCUCUUACGUCAAGCUCAAACCUCAUCGCUGCUCCCUGCGUUCAGCUGGAAAGGGACGGACACCAUUUAUGACUGAAUAUCCUGAGUCACCGAUUCCCAGCUGGCAUGUGCGCUGCAGUUCCAUCUCUUCCUUUCCGACUGCACUCCCUAGAGGAGAUUGGGAACAAUUGCAGUCGUCAGCUCCAGCGUGGCGUGUGCUUGUCGGGAACCACACAAUUGGUGGACAACCUCUGACUACGUCUAUGGGGUGAGCUGCCUGUGAUUUGUUACUGUAAGCCUGGUGUUUCCAUACAGGAAAAUAGAACAGGUGUAUGGAUAUUUUUAAAAAUUAGUUUCUUUACUAGUAAAAUAUCUGCGUUGUGGAGAUGGUGAUAGGAUGUCUUCAUUAAAUAAUUGGUGAAGACCAGUGAUAAAUUGUGUGAAAGUGGAUGAAAACUAAGAAUCUGGAGAGAUGAUAAAAGGUGAAGUAGUUACUCCCUACACUGGCAAAGCUCAUGCUAGCAGGAGCACGGGUCCACCAUGCAGGAGCCAACAGGUUAUGUGUCAGACACUCCUGUCGUGCUGUGUUUGUUAUCUUGCUAGUGUCCCAAAGUGUCCCAAAGAAAGGCUGCUGAAGCUCAGCAGGGAAAUAAUGCAACAUGUCGCUUUGUUAUUUGAUCUGACCCAAACAUUUUCACCAUAUAAUGCUUGCUGCUAGUCUUGUGCGUGGCUCUGGGGGAGGCUGAAACACAAAGCACUUCACUGAGCUUUUUGAUCCAACAGGUCUUGACAUAUUGCUGCUGGACACGUCUCUGUGUCUGAUCUGAACUGCGACAGUUCCAUUCUGUCCUGCUAAAAUAACAACAUAUUAAACAAUACUUUCUGUCCAUGCUGUUUCCACCUAUUGACUAAAAAGUUAAAUUCUUACUAAGCUAGUUUUAAUUUACAUGUCAUGAAAUAUUAGUUAAUGGUCAGCUGAUUUCCCUGGCAUGAAGACAGUAAAGUAUAUAACAGAUUAAUGCUUGCCCGGGACCAAAUGAGUUGAAGCAGCUUCUGCUGAAACACAGAGAUGAAAUGCAGUGAAAUACAGAGAUGCUCUGCCAAUCAAACCUGUUUGCAACAGGUCACCAGUGUUUGCCUGGGACAGUCCAUCCUGUUAGCAGGCACUGAUCCUGCUAUGGAGGAGAUAUGUGCCUUGUGCUGACUCAUGGAAGUAGGUGCAAGUUGCAUCAAUGACGUAAGAAAUGGCUCACCUUAGAAGCGGGACGUAGGUUUUGGUGUAAGAACUGCUUAAGAACCACCUUUAGAAGAAAGUUGAGGGGAAAGAAUAUAUGAGAGAAACUUUGAAGUCUGACUUGGUGAAAUUCUGAUCUUCCUGUUGCAUCAGGGGCUCGUUCCAAAUGAAGUAGGUGCACAACUGUUAAUACCCUGCCUGAAGGGUCUUGGGAAAACAUGCACUGUAGCUGCAGACAGCAGUAGUCCUAAGGGGACUUUUCUGGAGUGGGUUGGCUGACAACUUCCAUACAGAGUUACUCCCUUGUUCCUCCUUUAUAGAUCUGACUCAUCUGUCCGAAAUACACCAGUUUCAGUUUUUUCUUUUCUCUCCUGUCAUUUACCUCAUGUUUCAUAUCCUUCAAGCUUCUUUUUGUAUCUCUGGGCUUAAUUCUGUUAAAUCCAGUUGCUUUGGCUUCUACUCUGCCUGUGCUUUGCACCUGCUACAGAACCCCAGCAAACUUGGCAACCAACCCUUGGGCACUCCAGAGAAAACAACUGUCUAGACCAGGCACCUUCUGCCCGAUGCCCUGGAUGUACCCCAGAGCUCCCAGGCAUUACUUUGUAUUCAGAACAACAUGUUGCUAUGCAAAUGGUUCCUUUCUGCUCUUCCUUUUACUUCCACAGAGAUAUGAGCACCCAGCUUCUCAGCAGGCACUAGACUAACAUUUAGUGAUCUUUUACAAAGAUCUGAUGCAAAGGAGGAUUGAUAAAAUCUUGUCCGGUGUUUUUGUGAACUCAUAAUUGCACCUGCCUCCUCCUAGGGAGUGAGUGAGCCAACAGAACAAACAACACCUUCUGCAGAGGCCUUAAAAGAGCCUCUGGUAUCCAGCAGAAUUCAGAAAGGUGUGUUACUCUUUCCUAAAAGGAAGAGAAAUCAAAUCUUGGUGUAAAGAGUCCUGUGGCAUGGGCAGGGCAGAGAAGCCUUAAUGCAAAGUCACAAGCCAUUCCAGUUAAAGCCCCAGUUGCCCUAGGCAAACACAGAGCCUGUCAGCGUCCUGCAGCUUUCAUACAGAGAUGUGACCAAAAUAGCUCCACAACUUUACAAUGUGGCUUAAAAUAGCUUGCAGGUCAGCUUUUUUCUCAAAGGUAGUGGUGACACCAGGGGGAGAGCACUCUUGCUGCUGUUCAGUGCAGGUAGAACUGGGAUAAACAAAGCAGAGACAGCAGCAGUCUAAUUAGCUAAGUAGCCUUGAGGAAAGAGAGAGAAGGGGUAAGAAAGGACUAAGGAGGUGCAGUGGAGAGAUGGACUAAAGUGUCAAAGGCGUGGUUUGACCCGCUGCCACUGGCCAAGUUAGUGUGCUUAUACACAAACAACUUCUCCCUGGGUUUGGUUUCCAUGACGUUUAAGAGUUAUCAGUCUGUUCCUGUCUCCUUGUGGCCCAUGUCAGGAUGUGUCACUGGACUGGCUGGCCAGCCAGCACAGCGUGUUUCUUGCUCCUCAUUUCCAGACAGUGAACACAGCCCAUGACAUCACCUCUGGCCAGCGGUGGAUCAGAGGCCAGGCCAUGGCAGUGUCAAGUGUGUUUUGCCGUAGCCAUUCAACCAGAGAGUUGAUCUUUUACAGUGCAAUUUGCAUUUGGAGAAAUCUAGAUGGCCCUUCAUUCUGGGGGGAUUUCAGUAUUUGUUCUUGGGCCAAAAAUAGACUGUUUUUGUGGGGUUGAACUGUCUGUUUUUGUAGAGCAUUACAUUUUACCAAAGGAACAAAGCUGUUCACCAUGAUCCUCGGAGUCUUAGUCUCUGUUGUGUAUACUAAGUCUGGCCAUGGAGAUGAGUCUCAGCCAAGUCUGGGAGUUAAGUGCCUGAUUUGGAACGUUACAGGAAUCUAAUGUAGGUUAUGUGAGGUUUGCCAUGCCUGCAGCCCCUGUGCUGCUGAGGUAAGUGUACUGCAGCAGGCUGUGCUAGUGAGAAUUUCCUUUGUGCUGCAGGUUUCAUGCCUAGUGCUUUUAUAGCACUGAAGGAGGGGAAGGAGGCAACAAGAAUGUGAAAAAUCAAGGCCAGGUCAUUACUGUCAGGCGAGGACAGAGUCCUGUAGCCAGUCAGAUGUGACAGAACACACUUGCUGAUGCUGCUACCAGGAAGCUUGAGAGAAAUGUGACUGAGUGAGAGCAGUGCGCAUGUGCCUGUGGAGAAAGGAGGCUAUCUGUGAGCUCUUGCAAUGCUUUUCUCUGCCCAGCAACAUCAUUGCUUCUAUUCCUUGUGUUCUGCUUAAGCAGCUGUUUCUGCGUUUAUGAUCCAAUCUAUUCUUCAUACAGGGCCAUCUUCACACUGAGCACCUUCACUGUCACAGCGCUUACUGGAGAUGAAGGACUGACAGGACCUCAGAGGUCAAAGUCCACUGCAAGCAGUGACCGAUACAAUCCCCCGCGUAAGUCAGGCUGGACUGCCUGCGCCUCAGGUCCUAACAGCAGGGUGGUUUGUGCAAGAGCACUUUGGAAGGUGUUUGUGAGGAUUUCUGUGUUCUUAUGAUGGUCCUAGGGAACAGGAGGAGAUCCAGAACUGUCUGAAAGCCCAGAGCCAGGAUUCUUUGCAAUCCCAGAGAAGUAAUGAGGGGAGAUUUGGCUGAGGCCAUCCCACUAGCCUGCCUCCCGUCCUGCUUCUUGUAUGUGUCCAAGAAGCUGCCUCCAGUUUAUACAAUUGCACUCUAGUAAACAAUUUUUCAUGCAGAUAUGGGCAGCAGAUGUUACUCAUGCCUGUGUGAACACUUCAACGUCUUUA
Long non-coding RNA from Empidonax traillii (willow flycatcher), 4625 nucleotides. RefSeq lists it as uncharacterized. The record is from RefSeq and is a predicted model, not a curated record. The transcript is spliced from 3 exons. Lineage: Eukaryota; Metazoa; Chordata; Aves; Passeriformes; Tyrannidae.